This is a long non-coding RNA of Musa acuminata AAA Group (dessert banana), 334 nucleotides long. RefSeq lists it as uncharacterized. NCBI's taxonomy places the organism in Eukaryota, Viridiplantae, Streptophyta, Magnoliopsida, Zingiberales, Musaceae. The transcript is spliced from 3 exons. The record is from RefSeq and is a predicted model, not a curated record.
GAGGUUCCUGAUGUGGGUCGUCGGAUCGAAGCUUUGACCAAGAGACGCCCGGUGCGACACUCUGGUUCAACGCAUGUGCCUCGUGGCUAAUUUAUUGUGCUGUAUUCCGCGACAUCCCCUAAUCCUUGUGCGCCCCGGCGAGACAAAAUUGUUUCUACUUGAAAAUGUUGGCGGCAUCAAUUGAAAUCGAGUCGAUUCGGACCGGCCCGGACCGGACCGGACCGGACGACCAGAUGUUCCUGAGAGAUGGGAGGAACGGUGGGGCAGUCCAUCAAUCGAGUACGGAGGCAGGAUUUGAGUAGGAUUGGGCUCACUUCCAAGCCAAGACAGGUUU